UAUUAGCUUGGUGCAAAAGUAAUUGUGGGUUUUGCCAUUGAAAGAAAUGGCAAAACUCACAAUUACUUUUGCACCAAGCUAAUA
Molecule: microRNA precursor, 84 nt
Organism: Homo sapiens (human)
Lineage: Eukaryota; Metazoa; Chordata; Mammalia; Primates; Hominidae
Rfam family: mir-548 microRNA precursor family
Source: Rfam